RNAcentral lists this ribosomal RNA (330 nucleotides) under uncultured eukaryote. Its description in RNAcentral is "partial 18S ribosomal RNA". It matches the Rfam family "Eukaryotic small subunit ribosomal RNA", at positions 1470 to 1796 of the family's 1831-position model. The record is from RNAcentral.
CCCUUAGAUGUUCUGGGCCGCACGCGUGCUACACUGAUGCAUUCAACGAGUCUAAAACCUGGUCUGAUAGGGCUGGGUAAUCUUUUGAAAGUGCAUCGUGAUUGGGAUAGAUGAUUGCAAUUCUUCAUCUUCAACGAGGAAUGCCUAGUAAACGCAAGUCAUCAGCUUGCAUUGAUUACGUCCCUGCCCUUUGUACACACCGCCCGUCGCUCCUACCGAUUGAGUGAUCCGAUGAAUACCAUGGAUUGAGAGUACGAAUAGGUUCGCUUAUUUCUGCUGCUCGAGAAGUGGAGUAAAUCUUAUCAUUUAGAGGAAGGAGAAGUCGUAACA